RNAcentral lists this transfer RNA (59 nucleotides) under Tetrameres grusi. Its description in RNAcentral is "tRNA-Gly". Lineage: Eukaryota; Metazoa; Nematoda; Chromadorea; Rhabditida; Tetrameridae. The record is from RNAcentral.
GAUUUCUUAGUAUAAGGUUUUAGUAUGUUUGUUUUCCAAAUAGAAGGUUUGAGGAGUUG